UGAAAAACAAACCAGUAUGACAGCCUUCCUCAACCUGGUGCUUACCGAAUACUCUGGACUCCAAAUACAAUCAGCCCCAGCCAGCAUGGCCAGUGGCCAGGAAUGAUGGGAACUGUAGUUCAAACCAUCUAGAGGGCACCAGGUGGGUGACUGCUCAUAUACAUCAUGGUUUCCAGAGUCAUCCUAAUACAGUGGUACCUCGGGUUACAGACGCUUCAGGUUACAGACUCCGCUAACCCAGAAAUAGUACCUCGUGUUGAGAACUUUGCUUCAGGAUGAGAACAGAAAUCGUGCGGCGGUGGCGCGGUGGCAGCAGGAGGCCCCAUUAGCUAAAGUGGUACUUCAGGUUAAGAACGGACCACCAGAAUGAAUUAAGUUAUUAACCCAAGGUACCACUGUAGGGAUAAAGAUUGGGGUACAGUUUAAAGCUCUUCCAUCCCUGUGUCUCCUGUAUCUGUUGUGUCUUCCAGAUCUCUCCCCAGAGAUGCCAUUAUCAUUACUUGCCCUGCCCCAAAGACUGGAUGGGAGAAAAUGGAAUGAGAAAAGGGCUCCAAGUAACCAUAGCAUUUCAUGAUCUCAGCAGCAGUCAUGGUGUAGCUCAGGAGCCCUGCUGACUGGAUUGACAUCAGUGUCCCAAUAUGGGUCAAUCCUUCUGCUUAUCCACCACUAUCACAAUACCUUCAUAGGCUGAAGAAGGAAAUUUAUAUACAUAAAGAAAAUAGGCUAAUGGGUUUUAUAUGAUCCUCUGCAAUCCCCACAUUAAGCAGCAUCAGACAAAGAAGCAUAUUACAUGAACAGAUUGACUUCCGCUGUUCAGGUGAAUUGUAAGGUAUCUGAGCAUGUUAAGCUUUUGCUCUGAUUCAUGCUAAUUGGGGGAAAUGCAUGCAACAAUACAGAAGGCAAUAUCCGAGUCUGAGGGCUGAAGCUCUCACUCUGAGAGGGAACCAUCUGGCACUCCAUCAUGAAAUCUCUAAUGAAAACAUCAUAGAUCAGUCUGUCCGUCACCUAGGCAUCUGACAGAAAUUGAAAUGCAGAUUUACCCAUCAUCUUUCAUCUGGUAAUCAUAG
Podarcis lilfordi (Lilford's wall lizard) is the source of this 1067-nucleotide non-coding RNA. The record is from the annotation of a GenBank genome assembly. NCBI's taxonomy places the organism in Eukaryota, Metazoa, Chordata, Lepidosauria, Squamata, Lacertidae.